CAAGGUCUCCGUAGGUGAACCUGCGGAGGGAUCAUUACACAAUAAAAUACGAAGGCCGUUCGCGGCUGGACUAUUUAUUACCCUUGUCUUUUGCGCACUUGUUGUUUCCUGGGCGGGUUCGCUCGCCACCAGGACCACAAUAUAAACCUUUUUUAUGCAGUUGCAAUCAGCGUCAGUAUAACAAAUGUAAAUCAUUUACAACUUUCAACAACGGAUCUCUUGGUUCUGGCAUCGAUGAAGAACGCAGCGAAAUGCGAUACGUAGUGUGAAUUGCAGAAUUCAGUGAAUCAUCGAAUCUUUGAACGCACAUUGCGCCCUUUGGUAUUCCAAAGGGCAUGCCUGUUCGAGCGUCAUUUGUACCCUCAAGCUUUGCUUGGUGUUGGGCGUUUUUGUCUUUGGCCCGCCAAAGACUCGCCUUAAAAUGAUUGGCAGCCGGCCUACUGGUUUCGCAGCGCAGCACAUUUUUGCGCUUGCAAUCAGCAAAAGAGGACGGCAAUCCAUCAAGACUCCUUCUCACGUUUGACCUCGGAUCAGGUAGG
This 539-nucleotide small RNA is filed under the name Curvularia spicifera. RNAcentral's name for it is "eukaryotic LSU rRNA". The stretch from base 200 to 353 matches the Rfam family "5.8S ribosomal RNA". Lineage: Eukaryota; Fungi; Ascomycota; Dothideomycetes; Pleosporales; Pleosporaceae. The record is from RNAcentral.